Aegilops tauschii subsp. strangulata is the source of this 2802-nucleotide long non-coding RNA. RefSeq lists it as uncharacterized. NCBI's taxonomy places the organism in Eukaryota, Viridiplantae, Streptophyta, Magnoliopsida, Poales, Poaceae. The record is from RefSeq and is a predicted model, not a curated record.
GAGAGGUUUCCGCUAUUCUGGUGACAAUUUUGGGUGCCUGGUGUAAAAUUGGGCAAAAUGGGCUUCUGCGAGUGUCCGCUUGUGCAUCCUAGAAAAAAUAGGAAGAAACAGGUCCUUUCUAAAGGUGGGCAUUAGACCAGAGUUUCGUGAGCCGGAGAAGAUCGAUAAAGCUUAGAACUUGCUCGUUUGCAGGAGGAGGCGGACUGGACCACGGCUGAAACUGCCAGGCACGGACUAAAAGCUUUAUCAAGGAUUUCCGAGUCAAACGACUACCAUCUACGGAGUAUAGCAUAGAGCUGGAAGCUGCACUAUGUACAAGAAGACUGGAUGUGAACACGGGCGGACUACACCCCUCACUUUCGUCUCCAUCGUGUGGCGGCUGACGAGACCUGGGUGACGCCGCCGCCACCAGGUUCUCUGUCUCGCAGCUCCUCUCGCCGUCGUCUUUCCGCGCUAGAUUCGUUUCGGUACUGAUCUAACUUCACUGCAAAUCUUCGAUUCUGCUGCGACCCUUGACUGCAUCUUCUUCAACCUCGACUCCCUGCAACCCUCCCAGCGACGUCGUCUCGCCGCCCUUGGCCUCACCAUCAUCUGAUGUAGGGGAGUGAUACCGCCACCUCCAUCUCCCCUUUCCCUGCCUCUGAACCCAACUGAGAAGAAACUCAUCUCUUCCCCUCUCCCAGGGCAUCCUCUCUUACCCUCCUGUGGCUCCUCGUCCUCCUCCCAUGGCCACCAAAUUCUGCAAGGAUUUUUUAUUCAUGUUGUUCUUUGUCACCAGGUCACCAGCAAGGUCUUAGUCCAUGAUUUGUUCGUCUCGCGCUAGAGAUGGUGGAGGUGGAGAAGAAGUCUGAGCGAGGGCUCAAGGAGGUGGAGGAAGAGAUGGUGGCCGGCACCGCUCCUUCGGCCAGGAAAAUGCGAGCACUCCGGUUCAUGCAUAUCGACUCAAUCGCGGGGUUGGAGGACAAAUUCGAGCUCCAUAUUACUUGGUCUGCUGCUUCUUCUGGGUUGUUUUCUACCUUCCAGUAGAUUCUGUGAAGCUCCAAUGGCUAACAAACAGGUUAGUGCUCAUGCACUAUUAUUCCUCAAGUUAAUUAUCUUGCGACGCAAUUUCAUAUUUUAUGGUCUGAUUGCUCUGGGUGGAACUGACCGCUCUACUGCAGUGUGAUUCCUCUAGAUGGAACUGACCGCUCUACUGCAGUGUUGUAAAAGGAGAUGUCUUGCACUACUGCUGCUUGGUAGACGUGAACGACUACAUUAGGAGUUUGCUGCAUGGUUGGAGGUCAGCUCAGCUUUUCUAUCUGCUUAACUUUUGCAGAUAUAAAAACUUAGGUAGUCUUGAAGCUGAAAUUUAGUUGAUUGAAAGUUAAGAGAUUCAGAGUAAGAGACUUUUUUUUGCACUCAGGGGACGAGCACGGUAACAUGUCUUCUCACUCCAAUAUUUGAGACUGAAUUUGAUAAAAUUAGGCACUGCAAAUAAAAUUAAAAUUAUUGGCAAAAUACACUCAUGGACAAUUUUAAAGAAAACAAAAGUGCGUAAUUUUCGUCUGCUUUGUGUUGAAGUCCUCUUGUAUAGGGCAUUUGAGGUUCUGUUUAGUGCAUAAUUUGGCGAAUCUUUUGCAGCAAACACUCAUUUAUUUGCUUUGCCAUGAAAUUUCCUACAUAUGACCGUCCUGUUCUAUCCAGGUGCCAUAAUUUUAGGUUUGACAUCUAAUAAGUUAACUUCAAAUUUGAAUGCCAUGUAUAGCAUUUUGAGAAUUGGAGUGACGGCAUCGGUCGCUACUACUUUAGUGAUCUAAAACGUCUUAUAUUAGUUUACAGAGGUAGUAUUUGGGUUGUCAUUGACAUCACACAUUGACUGGCGAUGUUGCAUGUCAGAGGGGUCUACUCAUACGUGCAGUUUUCCAUUGUCUCUGGUGAUUCUUUUCUUUAUUUCCCACCUUGCACGUUUGUUAUAUUCAUGGGUUCACCCUUCUUUCUAAUAUUUUAUAGUUUACUAAAAUCGUAACAAUUGGUGUCAAAACCUUAUAUUCGCUGCUAUUGUAGAUCAGUACCAUUACCCUAUUUGCAGAUUUUUAGUUAAGCUAUAUUAGAAGAAAUCAUAUGCUAACUUACAACCCAGCUAAAAAAAGAUAUUGAAAAUCAAAUAAAAUGUAAGCCAAAAAGAUGACCAAUACAUUGUACUAUUUGGAUCAUGCUUCUUACAUAUAUGUUUGAUUACAUUAUCUAUACAAUUCUAUAAUCAUCCACAUUAUUUUCCUUAGCUUAACAUGCCAUUGCAUUCCAUAUAUAACUAUCUGUUAUAACAACAAUUAUAAGGUGAACCAUGUUUGCCGCGACUUGCACAUUUUUAAUGUUCGAUGGACUAAGACCAGAGUUUUCCCGCCUGUACACACUCUAUUUGCAUUACAUUUUUCUGUAAAAUAAUACUGACAACUUCAUCAUUGUUGAUUCGAAUACCAUACCAUGUUGAUCUACACCCGGUGUGCUUUCUCUCCUAUUUAUGCUUUGGUUUCAGUGCUUCUAAGGCUCGCACAUAAUAAUUGAGAAAAGUAGCACAGUGUUUUUUUGGCUAUUUGCUAUCAAUGGCAUGUUGCAGUUUACCAUGGACCAUGCUAAACGUGCACCUAUCCAAGGAAUACUGUACUUUAUGGGAUUUCUCAUAUAUUUGUAGAUUUAUUGUAUUUUCUUUGAGUUGGAUUGUAGAUUUGUUGUUGUGUUGUCAGAAUAGACAAUGCAUGAAUUCGGUAACUGAUUUUAUAGCUGCAGUCUCCUAAGCACAAUUAUUGGUGCUUUAUUUUAUAA